GGUAAAUAAUAGUGGCCCUUGUGGGGCCACUGCACAUUAAACAGUUUUGUGUUGGUCACUCCAGCACUGUUCCGUAUGCAGAACAAUUUACGCAUUCAGACACUGGUAACACAUGAACCCCAUUGUAAUUAACAGGCUCCAGCGAAAGUUGGGCUACAAUUUUACUC
Molecule: non-coding RNA, 167 nt
Organism: Erwinia tracheiphila
Lineage: Bacteria; Pseudomonadati; Pseudomonadota; Gammaproteobacteria; Enterobacterales; Erwiniaceae
Source: Rfam